GACGAACCGUGCGAACGUUGUUCGGAAUCACUGGGCUUAAAGGGCGCGUAGGCGGAUCAGCAAGUCCGGGGUGAAAUACUUCAGCUUAACUGGAGAAGUGCCUUGGAUACUGCUGGUCUCGAGGGAGGUAGGGGUCAUUGGAACUUCUGGUGGAGCGGUGAAAUGCGUUGAUAUCAGAAGGAACGCCGGUGGCGAAAGCGAAUGACUGGAUCUCUUCUGACGCUGAGGCGCGAAAGCUAGGGGAGCGAACGGG
Molecule: ribosomal RNA, 253 nt
Filed under: uncultured prokaryote
Also listed under: 1 other name
Description: partial 16S ribosomal RNA
Rfam family: Bacterial small subunit ribosomal RNA
Source: RNAcentral